UUAAUUGAAGAGUUUGAUCAUGGCUCAGAUUGAACGCUGGCGGCAGGCCUAACACAUGCAAGUCGAGCGGUAACAUUUCAAAAGCUUGCUUUUGAAGAUGACGAGCGGCGGACGGGUGAGUAAUGCCUAGGAAAUUGCCCUGAUGUGGGGGAUAACCAUUGGAAACGAUGGCUAAUACCGCAUGAUGCCUACGGGCCAAAGAGGGGGACCUUCGGGCCUCUCGCGUCAGGAUAUGCCUAGGUGGGAUUAGCUAGUUGGUGAGGUAAUGGCUCACCAAGGCGACGUUCCCUAGCUGGUCUGAGAGGAUGAUCAGCCACACUGGAACUGAGACACGGUCCAGACUCCUACGGGAGGCAGCAGUGGGGAAUAUUGCACAAUGGGCGCAAGCCUGAUGCAGCCAUGCCGCGUGUAUGAAGAAGGCCUUCGGGUUGUAAAGUACUUUCAGUCGUGAGGAAGGUGGUGUUGUUAAUAGCAGCAUCAU
RNAcentral lists this ribosomal RNA (481 nucleotides) under Vibrio aestuarianus subsp. francensis. RNAcentral describes it as "bacterial SSU rRNA". It matches the Rfam family "Bacterial small subunit ribosomal RNA", at positions 1 to 475 of the family's 1533-position model. Lineage: Bacteria; Pseudomonadati; Pseudomonadota; Gammaproteobacteria; Vibrionales; Vibrionaceae. The record is from RNAcentral.